This is a long non-coding RNA of Chiroxiphia lanceolata (lance-tailed manakin), 494 nucleotides long. RefSeq lists it as uncharacterized. Lineage: Eukaryota; Metazoa; Chordata; Aves; Passeriformes; Pipridae. The record is from RefSeq and is a predicted model, not a curated record. The transcript has 2 exons.
CUUGAGAAGAUACCCCACAUUAGUCACUGUUUCAAAGCUACGUGAAAGCAUUGGCAGAGAGUUGUGUAAGUGAACACGUUUCCAAACAACCUUGGUGCUGGUGGGGAGGUGGUGCUGGAGCUGUGAAUAUUGCAGGGAAGUGGAGGGCUGCCCCAACACAAUGUCCUGCCUCUUCUAUAGGAAACCUGAACAGCAAAAUGAAUUGCAUUGUUCGAGAGACAAAUUUAUGUUCUGUGCCAAUGCAGACAGGAAUCUUUCUGCUGUAGAUGGGAGACUGAGGAACAGGAAGCCCAGGAUUUGUCUAAGUAGUAUGGACCAUCUGUACCUAAACAGGAAAUGAACUGGGUCUCCAGAGCUCCAGAAAAAGGCUGUCAUCAUAGGGUCAUCUAUUUUCACCGUGCCACAAUGCUUCUUGUGAAAUAAAAUGCCUUUCGCUGCUCCCCUGGGAAUCUAAUUCUGUGUACUGAAUAAAUAAAACAGUGAAAGUAGGAACA